CCUACGGGUGGCAGCAGUGGGGAAUCUUGCACAAUGGGGGAAACCCUGAUGCAGCGACGCCGCGUGAGUGAAGAAGUAUUUCGGUAUGUAAAGCUCUGUCAGCAGGGAAGAACAUGACGGUGCCUGAUUAAUAAGCCCCGGCUCACUACGUGCCAGCAGCCGCGGUACUACGUAGGGGGCAAGCGUGAUCCUGAUUUACUGGGUGUAAAGGGAGCGUAGACGGCAGCACAAGUCUGGAGUGAAAUGCCGGGGCUUAACCCCGGAACUGCUUUGGAAACUGUGCAGCUAGAGUGCAGGAGAGGAAAGUGGAAUUCCUAGUGUAGCGGUGAAAUGCGUAGAUAUUAGGAGGAACACCAGUGGCGAAGGCGGCUUACUGGAUUGUAACUGACGGUGAGGCUCGAAAGCGUGGGGAGCAAACAGGAUUAGAUACCCGAGUAGUC
RNAcentral lists this ribosomal RNA (440 nucleotides) under uncultured bacterium. Its description in RNAcentral is "partial 16S ribosomal RNA". It matches the Rfam family "Bacterial small subunit ribosomal RNA", at positions 338 to 795 of the family's 1533-position model. The record is from RNAcentral.